CUCCUACGGGGGGCAGCAGUGAGGAAUAUUGGUCAAUGGGCGGAAGCCUGAACCAGCCAAGUCGCGUGAGGGAAUAAGGCCCUACGGGUCGUAAACCUCUUUUGCCGGGGAGCAAGGGCGGGGACGUGUCCCGGCCCGGAGAGUACCCGGAGAAAAAGCAUCGGCUAACUCCGUGCCAGCAGCCGCGGUAAUACGGAGGAUGCGAGCGUUAUCCGGAAUGAUUGGGCGUAAAGGGUGCGUAGGCGGCCUGCUAAGUCUGGAGUGAAAGGUACCGGCUCAACCGGGACAGGCUCUGGAAACUGGCG
This 305-nucleotide ribosomal RNA is filed under the name uncultured bacterium. Its description in RNAcentral is "bacterial SSU rRNA". It matches the Rfam family "Bacterial small subunit ribosomal RNA", at positions 336 to 638 of the family's 1533-position model. The record is from RNAcentral.